RNAcentral lists this ribosomal RNA (449 nucleotides) under uncultured prokaryote. RNAcentral's name for it is "bacterial SSU rRNA". It matches the Rfam family "Bacterial small subunit ribosomal RNA", at positions 355 to 796 of the family's 1533-position model. The record is from RNAcentral.
UGGGGAAUAUUGCACAAUGGGCGCAAGCCUGAUGCAGCCAUGCCGCGUGUGUGAAGAAGGCCUUCGGGUUGUAAAGCACUUUCAGUAAGGAGGAAAGGUUAGUCACUAAUAUUGGCUAGCUGUGACGUUACUUACAGAAGAAGCACCGGCUAACUCCGUGCCAGCAGCCGCGGUAAUACGGAGGGUGCGAGCGUUAAUCGGAAUUACUGGGCGUAAAGCGUACGCAGGCGGUUUGUUAAGCGAGAUGUGAAAGCCCCGGGCUCAACCUGGGAACUGCAUUUCGAACUGGCAAACUAGAGUGUGAUAGAGGGUGGUAGAAUUUCAGGUGUAGCGGUGAAAUGCGUAGAGAUCUGAAGGAAUACCGAUGGCGAAGGCAGCCACCUGGGUCAACACUGACGCUCAUGUACGAAAGCGUGGGGAGCAAACAGGAUUAGAUACCCCCGUAGUCC